CCGCUGCUGCUGUUGUGGAAUCCGGCUUCCCCCACCGCUCUGCAGCACUGACAUUUAGGACCACUGGCAUUCAUCUGUGAUGCCUAUCUGAGAAAUUCAUAUUCUGGUCGAAGGAGAAAAUGAAGAAAGAUGGGUCAAUAGCCAUCAGAAAAGUGAAAGAAACAACCCAAACAAAAGCACAUCGUAUGCUAACUGGAGAAACAGCAGU
Molecule: long non-coding RNA, 208 nt
Organism: Eubalaena glacialis (North Atlantic right whale)
Lineage: Eukaryota; Metazoa; Chordata; Mammalia; Artiodactyla; Balaenidae
Exons: 3
Source: RefSeq, a predicted model, not a curated record